UGAUCCGGGUUGCGGACAGUGUCUGGUGGGUAGUUUGACUGGGGCGGUCUCCUCCUAAAGAGUAACGGAGGAGCACGAAGGUUGGCUAAUCCUGGUCGGACAUCAGGAGGUUAGUGCAAUGGCAUAAGCCAGCUUGACUGCGAGCGUGACGGCGCGAGCAGGUGCGAAAGCAGGUCAUAGUGAUCCGGUGGUUCUGAAUGGAAGGGCCAUCGCUCAACGGAUAAAAGGUACUCCGGGGAUAACAGGCUGAUACCGCCCAAGAGUUCAUAUCGACGGCGGUGUUUGGCACCUCGAUGUCGGCUCAUCACAUCCUGGGGCUGAAGUAGGUCCCAAGGGUAUGGCUGUUCGCCAUUUAAAGUGGUACGCGAGCUGGGUUUAGAACGUCGUGAGACAGUUCGGUCCCUAUCUGCCGUGGGCGCUGGAGAACUGAGGGGGGCUGCUCCUAGUACGAGAGGACCGGAGUGGACGCAUCACUGGUGUUCGGGUUGUCAUGCCAAUGGCACUGCCCGGUAGCUAAAUGCGGAAGAGAUAAGUGCUGAAAGCAUCUAAGCACGAAACUUGCCCC
RNAcentral lists this ribosomal RNA (565 nucleotides) under Salmonella enterica subsp. enterica serovar Wagenia. RNAcentral's name for it is "partial 23S ribosomal RNA". It matches the Rfam family "Bacterial large subunit ribosomal RNA", at positions 2236 to 2800 of the family's 2925-position model. The record is from RNAcentral. Lineage: Bacteria; Pseudomonadati; Pseudomonadota; Gammaproteobacteria; Enterobacterales; Enterobacteriaceae.